RNAcentral lists this ribosomal RNA (578 nucleotides) under Hanseniaspora guilliermondii. RNAcentral describes it as "eukaryotic LSU rRNA". It matches the Rfam family "Eukaryotic large subunit ribosomal RNA", at positions 65 to 661 of the family's 3401-position model. Lineage: Eukaryota; Fungi; Ascomycota; Saccharomycetes; Saccharomycodales; Saccharomycodaceae. The record is from RNAcentral.
CCAAGGCCAUACUUAGUACGGCGAGUGAAGCGGUAAAAGCUCAAAUUUGAAAUCUGGUACUUUCAGUGCCCGAGUUGUAAUUUGUAGAAUUUGUCUUUGAUUAGGUCCUUGUCUAUGUUCCUUGGAACAGGACGUCAUAGAGGGUGAGAAUCCCGUUUGGCGAGGAUACCUUUUCUCUGUAAGACUUUUUCGAAGAGUCGAGUUGUUUGGGAAUGCAGCUCAAAGUGGGUGGUAAAUUCCAUCUAAAGCUAAAUAUUGGCGAGAGACCGAUAGCGAACAAGUACAGUGAUGGAAAGAUGAAAAGAACUUUGAAAAGAGAGUGAAAAAGUACGUGAAAUUGUUGAAAGGGAAGGGCAUUUGAUCAGACAUGGUGUUUUUUGCAUGCACUCGCCUCUCGUGGGCUUGGGCCUCUCAAAAAUUUCACUGGGCCAACAUCAAUUCUGGCAGUAGGAUAAAUCAUUAAGAAUGUAGCUACCUCGGUAGUGUUAUAGCUUAUUGGAAUACUGCUAGCUGGGAUUGAGGACUGCGCUUCGGCAAGGAUGUUGGCAUAAUGGUUAAAUGCCGCCCGUCUUGAAACC